Long non-coding RNA from Strigops habroptila (Kakapo), 6193 nucleotides. The record is from Ensembl. Lineage: Eukaryota; Metazoa; Chordata; Aves; Psittaciformes; Psittacidae.
UGCAUGUGGCACCUUGGUGACAAGUCAGUCCCCUCUGUAGUCUCUGUACCAGCUGCCAGCGGCACAAGCUGUGUCUGCCGGGACAUCUCCCGUGAGAAGGGAGGUGAGAUGGGCUGCAAAGAUGCUGCAUGACUCUGGGUUCUGGCACACUCACACCUCAGCCCUGCUGCAAAAGCCUGGCCCCAGAAGCAAUCUGUUAACACAAUCACAGGAAGGUAUCGUCCCUCUAACAGAGAAAAGCUGUCUGCAAGGUAAAGCAUCCGUGACCUUGUGUGUCCUUCCUCUCCUCUUCCCUUCCUCACCCUGGAGAAGGUUUGUCCUCCCUCAUUGCCAGGACAAGGACAGCAGAGCGUGGCUGCAGGUUUUGCUGGAGGCAGGGAUAUGGGGUUGGCAGAUCUAGGAGGUGCCCAUCCUUUCCUCCUGCCUUUGCUCUGAUGAACUCUAUGCUGAUGCUUCUAUGGAGCAAAACACCAAAACUGAUGACAGCAGAGGGCUUGUCCAGGAGCUGCAAUGGUGAGCUUGCUUUCAGAGGGCAGAGAGUAGCUGUCCUAAGUCAAAGUCAGAACAAAAAGCUGCAGGAGGUUUGCUACUCUCCCAGCCCAUAGUACAAGCUGAGCUGGCUCCCCUGGCCCCAGGCUGAGCUGUUAUCCCCAACCUGAGCCAGGACCUCCUGCUCUUCCCUUGCCAUGUUUCCCCGUGCCGUGAUCAUCUUCUGCAGCCUUGACACCCUGAAUGCUUGAAACAGCUCCAACCCCAAAUCCAGGAGCAAAAGGCACUGAAUUGAGAUCCAAGUCUCGGUUUUGCUGGUCCCAGCAGAGUGGUGUAAAAUACGAAUGUAUGCUGCCACGCUGUGGCCAGAGCAGGGUUUGGAGCCGGGUGUGAGGCCAGGUUUGUGUCAUUGCCUGGGGACUUUGUCACCUGGAGGUGAAAGCAGGACAGGAAAGGAAAAAGGGCAGCCCAUGUUCCACCUCUGUGGGUUGUGCCUUAAUCCCAGGGCAGGCAAUGGGACAGGGGAGCUGGGUCCCUUUGCUGUCUGUGGAAGACAGCCCUAGAGCUGUGAACAUAGAACAAGCCUGGUCCUAACCCCCAGUCCUGUGGCUGCAGAAGCAGAGCUAAAGAAGAAAAAUCAAACUCAUCCCCUUCUUUUGGGAGAUUUGAUUGUGGCUCUAGAUUUUGUGCUCUGGUUCUCCUUUCAGUAGAAGGAGUGAUGCAACCUGAAGAGGAAGUAGUGCCCAAAGAAAUGCCCUUGUCUUCAUCUUCUUCCCAGCUCAUCCUGUGCUGCUGGCAGUUAGUUUUCUCCUGUCCUGCCUUCUGCCUGUAUUGCCUCCCAUCUGACAGACAUAUUGCUGCUGGAGUCUGUGUCUGAGAUGAACUGACUUGCUUUCCCUGCACCCUGAAGCUUCCUACCUCCAUCUCCCCCUUCCACCCAAGCUGUCAGUGAAAGCAGUGGGGAAGCACAGUGGAGAAGGGAAUGGGGCAUGUGCCUUGCCUUCGGCGGGAUCUGCACAGGGGCCUUUGUCACAGACAGCCAGAGCCCCCUCAAGUUCAACAGGCAUCGGGUAGGUGAGUCCUUCAGAGCCCUUUGGAAGGGAAAUGCUGUUUCAGGGGCAGCCUCUUUGCCUGGCCCUGGAGAAGAAACACCCUCCCUGCCAUGAAGGUCCGUGACUGCAGUUCAUAUGUCCCCCAGGGCUCUGGGCUGCCUCUCUGCUCCCUCUGCUUGAGAUGGACCAUUUGCUCCUCACAAGCUGUACCACUGGGAAUUUUGAUUCACUGGUAUUUGUUGACUCAGUCUCAGACGUCUCAACUUCUCCUCCAUCCUCUCACCCGCAGGGGCUUUGCACUCCCCUCGUGCUUCAUUUUCUCCUACAGCAAAGGAGAAAAUCAACUUGGGGAUCUGCUUUAUCAUUCCGCAAAUACGGCUCUUCCACCAGUUGUCUAGACUCUGCUCGUCUUGGUGUGACAUUUCUGAUGUGUGGCUGUAGCUACAAUAGCUCUGGCAUGGAUAAGCAGCAGAGAGCGAGAUGGGGUCAGCCACAGAGUAGUGCUGUGAGCUGCUCCAGGUGUCAUGGAUGAGGGGUUGUGCCUCCUGGGCACUUGGUUCACAGAUCUGUCACCUCCGGGUGCCUGCUGCCCAUCCAGGCUCCUGCAUAGCCCUACACGGUUCCUGAGGUGGGGGGUGCUGGGCCUGAUGACACCCAGCCUGAUCCAGUGCCCGAGUUCCUCUCCUGGAGGAUGUCCACCACCAGCACUGCCUGUUUUGAGCAGCUCUGCUCCAUUUUUGCUCCCCACAUAUUAAACAUAAAGAGGGUCUUCUCUAAACAGGAGAUGUGAUUUUCAAGACACCAUGAAGUGAGGGGUUUUUUUGACAAAGAUUUUAAUUCAUAAGUCCUUCAAAUGUCCACAGAAAGUUAUUACCUGAGCUUGAAAACUCAUGGGAAAUGAUUCUCAGUUUUUCCAACCUGCUGUGUCCACUAGCAGGGAAAAAUAAGUUGUUCAUUCAGUGCAAGGAUGUCUACUGCCUGCGUUGUUGAUGACUUCAAAGGUUUCAUCUCCCCAGAAGGACUGCCUGGGAGUUUGUUGUUGUUCUGUUUAUGAGAUUCAGCAGGAAAAUAAUGAGACUUCUGCCCUCAGAAGCACACUCACGAAGAUGACUCCACGAUCGUUGCUGGGUGGGCCUGAGAUCAUUGAACUUACAGGAACUGAGCCAGUCAUGUCCAUACUGGCCAGAGAAACGGGUCUGGGCUGUCCAUGCUCCCUGUGCCAUCCUGUGCCUACACAUCCCAGGGGCGAGCAGGGGACUCUCUUUACUCCCAGAGCAGUGUGAGCCAAUGUGUCCGUGCAACACAACUUGCAGUUGCGUCCUGAAUGAUUGCACCCAUGCAGAAGAGGAGAUGGGAAGAGAUAAGAGCUGCUUGAACCUGUGCCCAGCCUGACUGCGAUUACUCCGUUUGCUCCUUUACUGUUAGUAUGCGAUGCCUCUCACCCCAUUCCAGGCUGUAUCCCGUGCUCCCUUUACCACUUCCCUCUGGAGAUCCCUCCUUUCUCAGCCCUGCCUGCCCAGCCAAAGGUGCAGUGAGCUGCUUGGCAAGGGUGAGUCCUGGGAAUGGCGACAGACUUGCAGUGCCUUGUGCUGGGAAGAGACUGCUGUACCCGCGCUGCCCUCCUGUUCCUGCUCUCUCCAGAGAUGCUCCUUAUCCAGAGAGACUUGAGGCUGAGAGGAACAGUGACUUCAAUUGACAAGUGAAAUUCUUGAUGGGCAAACUGCCCCCGGGAUGACUGAGAGCAAACCUACAGCCCUGCUCUGCAUUUAAUCUCCCAGUGAUGGGGUUUGAUAGGGAUAUGGAGGCAGUGCAAGGUGUGGGUGAAAACUGGACACCAGCUUCUGCAAGCAACACGGGUCUGUGAACACCUACCACGUACUGGAGACCAUGGUUUUAUUAAGCUGGCAGCAGGAGGAGAGUGUGUGUUUGUGGUUGAAGCCUCAUGGACUUGCAGCAAGCCCAAGCCAAAGCUGCUGCCUCCCAACUUAUGACCACUGAAGCUGUUCACUCCUCUGAUUCAUACCUGUGGGGGAGCUGCAGAGAGUUCCCAGUGCUUUUUGGAAGGAGAAUUUUUAUGCUCAAAACUAGAUUUUGUUCCUGUUUUCACUGGGGACAAGCUCUCAGCUUCAGAAUUGCUCUGAUAACUUUGCAAUCGCUUUGAUAGUUCCAGAGGGGAGCACAGUCCCUUUACAGAACAGAUGGAGACACAUUUUCAGGACCAUUCCACUUUGCUGUAACUCUGGUUUUGGUAUAAUGAUUUCUUCUGCUGUAACAGGAGGGACAAAUUUGGCCAGUGCUGAAUGCUCUUGAAAACUGUAUUCCUGAACUUGGAUCCGAGUCCUCCCAGAUACAAAACACCUUCCACACGCUUCGGUGGCACUGGGGAUUUCAGCAGCUUGCAGGAUCAGGCUUUCACAGCAGCAGCAGUUUCAUGGUGGCAGUGAUUUUGUGUGUGUCAAUCUGCACUUGCCUGCAAUGCAUGACUCUAGUGAUCCAUUUGAAAUCUCCCCUCAACAGGGAGAUCUGAGCUCUAGCUUCUUCCAUAUGGCUGUGUGUAUUUAGUAGGAAAUCAGGGGAGUGGGAGAAAGCUAAUGAGAUUGCUGCUUUAAAGCACUUGGUUCCACAAGUAAAACACACCUUACCAGAGGCCAACAUCGGCUUGCUUUUAGCAUGGGUAACUCAUGAAAUAUUUAAUCAUUGUGAUGCAGAUACACCUUUUUCCUGCUGUGCCAGGAAUGAAGUAGACUAGAAAGGCUUGGCCUCCACCCCUACAGAUGUUUGGCUGUGAUGGAAGUUUGAACCAUUGAAAUCACAGGGGAAAAUAACAGCCAAGCAAACAAAACCCAAUAGAUUGUGAGUCCACAGCGGAGCGGCCACAGCUUGUUCAGCAGUGGGAGCACCUCACUGUGAGGGCUGCUGCUUUCCUGCCUUAUCCAUCUUCCUACCUGGCCAGAUUUCAGGGAGAGAGGACGGAGGAAGCACUUCAAAAGCAAGGCAUUCGAACCAGUGAGUCUUGCCCCAAGCAUCCCUCAUUGGGCAGGAGCCCACAGGCCAAGGCUUUGCAGCUACUCCUUGCUACCAUGGCGGGGAAGUGGGUGAAUAACACUGGGCAAAGCAUUUUAUUUCCAUGACUAUUCUUAAUACUUAAAAAAUUUAAAGGCUAAAUACUGAAAGAGAUGGUGUAAAAGAGCAACAGAUUUGGGGCUUCUUUUUGAUGCUUUGUUUUCAUGUGUCGGUUUCGGGUAGGGAAAGCCAACAAAAAGUGUAUCAGAUUGUUUUGGAUUCAAUCACAUAUUUUGUUCUCACAAGAAUUGCUAACAGAGGUUUAAAGAUUUUCCAAGGGCAACAAAACUGCCUUAAUACAUAUUCAGCUUCAACAAGAGACAUUAAUGCUACUUGCUUCUGAGCCUGCUUUAUUCUCUUUCUCUCUGUGUGAUUGUGGCAUGGAAUCAUGUCUUGACAAAAUACGUUUUACAAUACUCGACAGGAUGUCCGCAAACAGAAGAUGGUGUUUCAGCAUCUCCCCGUGCACAGCAUUGAAGUGAUGGCUUUGAAGCCAGUGAAAUUCAAUGCCCAGUUUCUGCUUUGCUAGAAUUCUACACAAUAGGCAAAUGUCCACAAUUCCUAAGGUUAAACGUGCUCUGCUGCCUUGAGAUGCCUUCAAAAAGCCCUGGGAUUCAUAUGCUGAAAAGAGCUUGAGAAUAGAUUCCCUGGUCUGCAGCACCAUCCCCAGCUCUUCCAGAGUGUGCACAAUUCCUCAGGCAGCAGAUGAACAGAGGAAAAUGACUUUCAGCCAGGACUCGUUGCUUUUUAGAUUGCAUGCAGUUAGAAACAUGAGUUCUGCCAGCCACCCAGGGAAUGUGAUAUUCAGUGCCAAUUCAUCUUUGUAAUAGGAACAGGGACGUAGUCCCUCGAUUCCCUUAGGCACCUUUGAAAAGCAUAAGCCUCAAAGGUUGGUUUGGAUUAGUUUUUCUCCUGGUGGCCUUUUUCCCUCAUGCCAUGAUGAGAAAGGGGACUGGUCUGUGAAGGGUGGCAGCUUUGGGGCAGGCACCUCCCCAACUUUCCAUGGCAGAGGUUUCCUAAACCUCUUCUCAACGUCUUCAGAUGUGGGUAAAUUCUGCUGUGCUAGAAGGGACUCCAACCUCUCGCUGCUCUCUGGUCCUCCUGCUCCUCCCUCCCCUCCUCAUGUCACUGUGCCUUCAUUUGGUUUAUCAAAUGAUGCCAUGAUUUAACACUGGCACGUUGUCUUUACUCUCACUUCGCAUCCCAUAAGACAGGUAUGUGUGGAGGUGGGGUGUGUAGCUUAUUUUGUAGCUUUUCAUGUGAUCCUGAGGUAGGUUUCUUCUGAAGAGUAAAGGGGUGAGGACAGUGGGAGGAGGGAUGGAUGAGCUGGUGUUGUAUUUGAUCAUACCAGUGCUUUAAGUGGUUUCAAACAUGGUUUUCCCCUACCUCUGAGCUCUCAAUGCUGCUAAAAUCUCUGCCAUUCGUACAAUGUACUCCAGCCCCCUCUCUCGGACUGACUCUGGCUCUGUUUGCAAGAUAUCCACAUUGUUCUAAAGCAUGCACCUCUUUCUGUAUAGUUCCGAUCUUCUGAUUUUAUGGAAUACUUAUGCCUGUUUGCAUUACAGUCAAAAUAAAAAAGUGAACUAAAA